UAAUUUAGGAUAUGUCUGCAAUUUUUCAGGUCAUUCGGACGUGUUUUGUAUAGGUUUUGAGUCGAAUGAGAGUUUGGCUAAGUUUUGGAGAUUUUAGGUGCAAAUCAUUGAUCAAAUGGUGUUUCCGGCGUUGUAUUAGGUGAUCUAAGGAUUGAUUCAAGUCCUAAUGAUGUUAAGGGAUAGGUUUGUUGGUUUGGUUGAAGUUCCGGGGGCCUCGGGCUUGUUUUGGAUGCUUGACGGAGUGAUUUUUGGAAGAAAUAUUUCUGCUGCUUCUGUUGUUUCCACGUCUGCGGAAGGGAGACCGCGUAAGCGGUUACCGCAGACGCGACCAUGCGAUCGCGGACGCGGUCUGGGACUGCAGAAGCGGAUAGGGAACGGCAUAAGCAGCCAUCGCGGAUGCGGCCGUUUGUCCGUGGAAGUGGAAAUUGAGUUUUUUAAUUGAAACCACUAAAGCGACUUUUUGACCGCGAAAGCGGGACAACAGAAGCGGUCCCUGGAGACGUAAAAGCGAAAAUCGUUGUAGAGAAAAGGGUUUUAUCCGAGGCUUAAGUUCAUAAGUUGAAAAAACAAAUUUAGCUCGGACCAAGGCGAUUUUGGGAGGGUUUUGAAGAGGAGACUAUUGGGUAAUGUUUCUAUGAUCCUUUCUAGCUUUAUUUCAUCAUUUAGUUGUUAAAUUCAUCUUUUAAAUUCAAAUUACGGUCCAAAAAUGGAGGAAAUGUGUGAAAGUUCUUUGGCUAAUCAAUUGGGUUUUUGAGGGAGCAUUUGAUCUCCGAUUUGAGAGAUUUAUAUAUGGUUAGACUCGUGAGAGUACGUGAUUUCUGAAAAUGUGAAAAUUAUUCGAUUCCUAGACGUUGUCCUGAGGGUUAUUUUGGUUACUUUACCUGUUCUCGCACCUUAGAUUUAAUAUUAAUAAUGUAAUCAGUUGCUUGCGAUGUUAUUUACAAUAUGUAAUUGGUUUGAAUAGAUUUGGGCCACUCGAAGUCAGAUACUCAUGGCAAAGGCGUAGUUCCUUAGCGGUUUUGUACCAAAUUGAGGUAAGUGGCUUGUCUAACCUUGUGUGGGGGACUUCUCCCCUUAGGAUAUAUUAAUUGUUGUUUAAGGGCCUUGUUCGCGAGGUG
This 1118-nucleotide long non-coding RNA is filed under the name Nicotiana benthamiana. RNAcentral's name for it is "long non-coding RNA (NBEN_LNC008886)". The record is from RNAcentral. Lineage: Eukaryota; Viridiplantae; Streptophyta; Magnoliopsida; Solanales; Solanaceae.